GAAGCCUCUUUUAAUUAAUAGAUUGUGCUUUUAACAGACAGGGAAAGAAAGACAUACAGAACUGGAGUUCUUUUAAAAUUUUCUAUGUUAACUACUUUAAUUCCCUGGAGUCAAUGAGUAGCACUAAUUAAAUUUAUGGAACUUACUCAGGGGAUCUGCAUAGCCAAGAGAUCAUCCAGAGGUGCCAAUGGCUAGGUCAGCAUAUUAGAGGGAGAAGGUGCCUGAGCUAUCCAGUCCAACCCCAUUAUUUUGUAGGUGAUAGGAUUGUGACUCAGAAGGAAAGGGCUUGCCUAAGACUCACAGCUCAUUUUUUGGCAAAACCAGGACUUAACUCCAGAUUUUUUGUUUAUUUGUUUUAUUUUGUGUGGCUUAAUCUUUGGGUUCAAAGCAACAAAAAUCUCACCAAACUACCUUAACCAAAAAGGGGAAUUUAUUGAGACCAUGUAAGAAUUGUUCUAGGUCUUAGAUUACUAGGCAGUAUGAGGGAAUGCAACCCAGACUAGUGAGUUAAGACUGUUAUAUUGCUUCUCUGGCUUUCAAAAAGGUCACCAGUUGUCAGCAUGUGUGUUACAUUUGUUUCUCAGAUGUAUACAGCUUGGCCAGCAGUGUGAAGUGUGUAACUAUCCAAAGGUCUGUAAAGGCACUGAUUGCUGAGUCGACCCCAUAAUUUCUAUCUCUUGGGGUAGAUCUUGAAGAGUUGCAUUUCUAACAAGUUCCUGUAUGAGGCUGGCAGAACAGUUUGAGAACCUCUAGCUCAAAGAAUUCUGAAUUUGAUUUUCUUUAGACAAAGCAUGCCUCUUCAGUUCUUCUUACUCAAAUUGUUCUUCCUGACCUUUCAGAGUAUGGGAGCCCUGCCCAAGGCAUUAUUGCAUGUGAUUACUCUAUUUUUUUUUUCCUGUAAACCAACUUCCUCUUCUCUACUCACACAAGGACCAUGAUGACUUCCAAGUCUUUCCUGGCUUUCCUAAAGGAAGUCAUUCCUUAUUCCCCAUUGCUUUAUAAGUCCAGAGCGCUCAGGUGGUUAGGGCAGGGCAGGGCCAUGAAACAUGGUUACAGACAUGCACUUCUUAGGAUGGAGGAGGAAAACAUAUCACAUGGUAUCUGUCAUGAUAUUUCUUGGAACACAGGUGUCCAACAAAAUGCCAAUGACUUAUGCAGUAGGUGAGUAUGUUUGGAAAACAAUGAGAUUAAACCAAUUUCAAUAGUAGUUUUGUUUGUAAUCUGUAAAUAUGCAUGUGACUGUCCAACAUGGUAAUCAAGAAUGCAACUUUUCCUACUUGUACAUAACAGAUCCUCUUCUAAGCAUAAGGCUUUGUUCUAGAACCUGGAAAAUACAAUAGCAACAGAGGAAAUACAUUUUGAAUUUUACAUUCCAGUGAGAGGAAGACAUGAAAUGCAAUACAAUGUAGUACAACAUGAUAUAUCACAAUACAACGUGAGACAUUGGAAUAGGAUAUGAUGUACUGUGACAGUGAUAUACUACAAUACAAUGUGACAUAUUGUAAUAUUGGAUAUACUGUGAUACAAAGCAAUACAAUGUAACACCAGUACAAUGUAUACACUGUCAUACCACCAUACACAGUGACACAAUACAUUAUACUGUGUUAUACUAUAAUAUGAUAUAAUACAAUGUGAUACAUCAUGAUAUAAUGUACUGAUACAUCAUAUGAAGAAUAGUACUAUAAAACUAGGGUCUGUUGGAUUAGGACACUUAACAGAGACUGAAUUAGUCUAAGGGAAUAACUGCUUUUUUUGAGAUGCUACAUUAUAGCUAUGAUAUAAAAGAUGAACAGAAGCUAUAGUAGGGAGAAGAGUGGAGAAAAUGGCAUGAGCAAAAGCUCUGAGUGUAGCAUAUUCAAAAGAGUGGUAAGGCCACUACAAUGGGACAGCAGACAACCACAGAGAAAAUGAUAUGAGGUGAGUCUAGAAGCAUGAGCAAGGGGAAAUCCUCAUUCAAGUAGAUCAUGAUAAAGAAUCUUUGCAAGGAAUGAAUGGUAAACCACUAAUAGGUCUUCAUCAGGGGAAUGGCAGAACAGAUUUUCAUUUAAAAGGAUCAUUCUGGCUUUUAGGCCAUUAGAGAUCUAGUACAGCUUUUGCUUACCUUCUGUCACUCUUCACUUUCCAAAACCCCUGUACUUCAGCUGUACGAAACUUCUUAUCAGUCUAAAAUACUGCUGUUUUAUCUAAAAUUACUUUCUUAGCACCACUCUCCAGUGGUGUGUGUGUGUGUUUCUUACAGACAAGUUCUGUGCAUCUUGUAAAACCCACAUCCACCUGGAUACAUCCCCGUGAAGUCUUUCCUGGCUUUCCAAAGGAAGUCAUUCUUUAUGCUUUCACAGAACUAGGUUCACACCUAGUGUCAGCUAGAAUGUGGACACCAUUCCAGUACCUUCAACAGUACCUGAUCACCUUAAUAUAGUAUAUAUAUAUACUCCAACUAAUAAUAUUUUCUCAGUGUCCUUACCCUCUUUUUAGACAAACCAAUUUCUCAGAGGGCAAAGACCAUGUCUUACUCCUUCUGGUCAUCAGCAUCUGGCAUAGGUCCUGGCAGCCAGGUCUCAGUAAACCCUCCAUAAAUUUAUGUUUAAUGAACAAAUUUCAGGAUAGAAAGACCAAGCUUUCUAUUAAUCUCUUUCUAUAGCCAAGCACCUUUCACAGUUCUGAUGUGUUUAAAUGACUUUUGUCCUUGGCCUCCCUGGAUUUUGAAAGGGGAUCGCCUCAUCCUCAUGACCUCUGGAACUUGGACUGCCCUGGUUGACCCUCACUUUACCCGUGGGCAUCUCUGACUCCCUUUCCCACUCUGUUAACUUGGUCAAAGAAGGUUGAUGUUAUGUGGAAAAAGAACACUGACCAGAGAUAGUGUCAGCUGCUCAUGAAGCUCUGUCCUAAAGGAACAGAACAGAGGAAGAGCUGGUUCGAAGAGCUGGUUGGAAAGCAGUCUUGAGAUGUUUUAGCUCUAUGUGUUUAACAUGGCUGAUGCCUUAAGCAAGAAACAGGGCCUGGAAUUUGAAUGUUACUUACUCAAGAUCAUACAGCUCAAUGUUUAUUUAUUAUUCAUUUAUUUAUUUUUGUCAUAUCUGGUUUUGAAAGGGUUUCAGGUAACUCAAAGAUAUACUUUGAACAUGACACAAGAAACAGAAGAGAAUUAAAAGGGAUAGAGAUGCAAAAGGUAUCUAGAAUGCAAACUGCAUGGCAGAACUUAUCAAAUAUUUUCCACAGAAUGCUAUUAGGCCAGAUGUUAGUAGGUCUCUCUCUCUCUCUCUCUCUCUCUCUCUCUCUCUCACACACACACACACACACACACACACACACACACACAGAGUUUCUUAGUAGAAAUGUUUGAAUAUAUUGAAACCAAUUUAAACAGAUUACUACAGAAUCUUCCAAAUCUUUAAUUUUGUACUGUGAAUCAACAAAAUGUGACAUAACUCAAGUUUAUUUGAUCUGGAUCUCUUUCUUUUUUUUAAUGCUAUAUUUGAGAAACUAGUGGUUUGACAAAUACCUAUUGGGAAACACAGCCUUGAAAUUCUUCAUAUUUUCUAAGUUGAAGGCUAAGAAAAUUCAACUCUGAGUUUUCUAGCAGAAACCAAGGAAAGCAGCCAGCCAGUCAGUCAGUCAGUCAGUUAUCCUAGUAACUAGGGAGGCUGUGGCUGGAGAAUCACAAGUUCAAGGCCAGCCUUAGCAAUUUAAUGAGGUCCUAAGCAACUUAGCUAGACCCUGUCUCAAAAUACAAAAUAAAAAGGACUGGGGGUAGUUAAGCAUCUCUGGAUUAAAUUCCCAGUACCAAACCAAACAAAAAUGAAAAUAAAAACAAAAAGGAAACAAAAGCCCAAGUCAGUCAAAUGAUUCACACUAUAUAUAAGAUAAAAACAGAUCAAUUGAUCUGGAGAAGCCCAGGCAGGAACUCCUUGGAAGAGCCUCAGAAAGGAGAAAGUGUGAUGUAAUGAAGUCCUCAAUUUCCCUACAUAUAUUGCUAAUUACAUUGCACUCAUCCUAUACAAUCCCUCAGUAUAGAUGAAAGCCAUAAUACUAAUAUACAAACAUUAUUCUAUAAUGAACAAAUGAAAUGUAUUAUAGGUAAAUAUCUUGCUGAUCUGGUUUACUAUAGAUUUUAUAGUAUGAAAGUAUAUUCUUUUUUUAUUUUUUAUUUUUAUUGUUGGUUGUUCAAAACAUUACAUAGCUCUUGGCAUAUCAUAUUUCACACUUUGAUUCAAGUGGGUUAUGAACUCCCACUUUUACCCCAUAUACAGAUUGCAGAAUCACAUCAGUUACACAUCCAUUGAUUUACAUAUUGCCAUACUAGUGUCUGUUGUAUUCUGCUGCCUUUCCUAUCCUCUACUAUCCCCCCUUCCCUCCCCUCCCCUCCCCUCUUCUCUCUCUACCCCAUCUACUGUAAUUCAUUUCUCCCCCUUGUUUUUUCUUUUUUCCCUUUCCCCUCACUUCCUCUUGUAUCUAAUUUUGUAUAACCCUGAGGGUCUCCUUCCAUUUCCAUGCAAUUUCCCUUCUCUCUCCCUUUCCCUGCCACCUCUCAUCCCUGUUUAAUGUUAAUUUUCUUCUCAUGCUCUUCCUCACUACUCUGUUCUUAGUUACUCUCUUUAUAUCAAAGAAGACAUUUGGCAUUUGUUUUUAGGGAUUGGCUAGCUUCACUUAGCAUAAUCUGCUCUAAUGCCAUCCAUUUCCCUGCAAAUUCUAUGAUUUUGUCAUUUUUUAAUGCAGAGUAAUACUCCAUUGUGUAUAAAUGCCACAUUUUUUUUAUCCAUUCGUCUAUUGAAGGGCAUCUAGGUUGGUUCCACAGUCUUGCUAUUGUGAAUUGUGCUGCUAUGAACAUCGAUGUAGCAGUGUCCCUGUAGCAUGCUCUUUUUAGGUCUUUAGGGAAUAGACCGAGAAGGGGAAUAGCUGGGUCAAAUGGUGGCUCCAUUGCCAGCUUUCCAAGAAAUCUCCAUACUGCUUUCCAAAUUGGCUGCACCAAUUUGCAGUCCUACCAGCAAUGUACAAGUGUACCCUUUUCCCCACAUCCUCGCCAGCACUUGUUGUUGUUUGACUUCAUAAUGGCUGCCAAUCUUACUGGAGUGAGAUGGUAUCUUAGGGUGGUUUUGAUUUGCAUUUCUCUGACUGCUAGAGAUGGUGAGCAUUUUUUCAUGUACUUGUUGAUUGAUUUUAUGUCUUCCUCUGAGAAGUGUCUGUUCAGGUCCUUGGCCCAUUUGUUGAUUGGGUUAUUUGUUAUCUUAUUGUUUAAUUUUUUGAGUUCUUUGUAUACUCUGUAUAUUAGGGCUCUAUCUGAAGUGUGAGGAGUAAAGAUUUGUUCCCAGGAUGUAGGCUCCCUAUUUACCUCUCUUAUUGUUUCUUUUGCUGAGAAAAAACUUUUUAGUUUGAGUAGGUCCCAUUUGUUGAUUCUAGUUAUUAACUCUUGUGCUAUGGGUGUCCUAUUGAGGAAUUUGGAGCCCGACCCCACAGUAUGUAGAUCAUAGCCAACUUUUUCUUGUAUCAGACGCCAUGUCUCUGAUUUGAUAUCAAGCUCCUUGAUCCAGUUUGAGUUAACUUUUGUGCAUGGCGAGAGAAAGGGAUUCAGUUUCAUUUUGUUGCAUAUGGAUUUCCAGUUUUCCCAGCACCAUUUGUUGAAGAUGCUAUCCUUCCUCCAUUGCAUGCUUUUAGCCCCUUUAUCAAAUAUAAGAUAGUUGUAAUUUUGUGGAUUGGUUUCUGUGUCCUCUAUUCUGUACCAUUGGUCCACCCGCCUGUUUUCGUACCAGUACCAUGCUGUUUUUGUUACUAUUGCUCUGUAGUAUAGUUUGAAGUCUGGUAUCACUAUACCGCCUGAUUCACACUUCCUGCUUAGAGUUGUUUUUGCUAGUCUGGGUCUUUUAUUUUUCCAUAUGAAUUUCAUGAUUGCUUUCUCUAUUUCUACAAGAAAUGCCAUUGGGAUUUUGAUUGGCAUUACAUUAAACCUGUAGAAAACUUUUGGUAAUAUCGCCAUUUUGAUGAUGUUGGUUCUGCCUAUCCAUGAACAGGGUAUAUUUUUCCAUCUUCUAAGAUCUUCUUCUAUUUCUCUCUUUAGGGUUCUGUAGUUUUCAUUGUAUAAGUCUUUCACCUCUUUUGUUAGGUUGAUUCCCAAGUAUUUUAUUUUUUUUUUGAGGAUAUUGUGAAUGGAGUGGUUGUCCUCAUUUCCAUUUCAGAGGAUUUGUCGCUGAUAUACAGGAAUGCCUUUGAUUUAUGUGUGUUGAUUUUAUAUCCUGCCACUUUGCUGAAUUCAUUUAUUAGCUCUAAUAGUUUCUUUGUAGAGCCUUUUGGGUCUGCUAGGUAUAGAAUCAUGUCACCUGCGAAUAGUGAUAAUUUAAGUUCUUCUUUUCCUAUUUUUAUGCCUUUAAUUUCUUUCGUCUGUCUAAUUGCUCUGGCCAGUGUUUCGAGAACUAUGUUGAAAAGAAGUGGUGAGAGAGGGCAUCCCUGUCUUGUUCCAGAUUUUAGAGGGAAUGCCUUCAAUUUUUCUCCAUUCAGAAUGAUGCUAGCCUGAGGCUUAGCAUAGAUAGCUUUUACAAUAUUGAGGUAUGUUCCUGUUAUCCCUAGUUUUUCUAGAGUUUUGAACAUGAAGGGAUGCUGUACUUUGUCGAAUGCUUUUUCUGCAUCUAUCAAUAUGAUCAUAUGGUUCUUAUCUUUAAGUCUAUUGAUGUGGUGAAUAAUAUUUAUUGAUUUCCGUAUAUUGAACCAGCCUUGCAUCCCAGGGAUGAAUCCUACUUGAUCAUGGUGCACAAUUUUUUUGAUAUGUUUUUGUAUCCGAUUCGCCAGAAUUUUAUCGAGGAUUUUUGCAUCUGGGUUCAUUAGAGAUAUUGGUCUGUAGUUUUCUUUCUUUGAAAUGUCUUUGUCUGGUUUAGGUAUCAGGGUGAUGUUGGCCUUGUAGAAUGAAUUUGGAAGUUCUCCCUCUUUCUCUAUUUCCUGGAAUAGCUUGAAAAGUAUUGGUAUUAGUUCUUCUUUAAAGGUUUUGUAAAACUCUGCUGUAUACCCAUCCGGUCCUGGGUUUUCUUAGUUGGUAGUCUUUUGAUGGCUUCUUCUAUUUCCUCGAUUGAUAUUGGUCUGUUUAAGUUGUCUAUAUCCUCCUUACUCAAUCUGGGUAGAUCAUAUGACUUAAGAAAUUUAUCGAUGCCUUCACUAUCUUCUAUUUUAUUGGAGUAUAAGGAUUCAAAAUAAUUUCUAAUUAUCUUCUGUAUUUCUGAAGUGUCUGUUGUGAUAUUGCCUUUUUCAUCCCGUAUGCUAGUAAUUUGAGUUCUCUGUCUUCUUCUCUUCGUUAGCAUGGCCAAGGGUCUGUCGAUCUUAUUUAUUUUUUCAAAGAACCAACUUUUAGUUUUGUCAAUUUUUUCAAUUAUUUCUUUUGUUUUGAUUUCAGUUAUUUCAGCUCUGAUUUUAAUUAUUUCUUGCCUUCUAAUUCUUUUGCUGUUGAUUUGCUCUUCUUCUAGGAUUUUGAGAUGAACUGUGAGAUCAUUUAUUUGUUGGUUUUUUCUUUUUUUAAGGAAUGAACUCCAAGCAAUGAAUUUUCCUCUUAGAACUGCUUUCAUUGUGUCCCAUAGAUUCCGAUAUGUUGUGUCUGUGUUUUCAUUUAUCUCUAAGAAUUUUUUAAUUUCCUCCUUGAUGUCUUCUAUAACCCAUUGAUCAUUCAGUAACCUAUUGUUCAUUCUCCAAUUGAUGCAUGAUUUUUCCUUCCUUCUUUUAUCGUUGAUUUUCAGUUUCAUUCCAUUAUGAUCAGAUAAGAAGCAUGGUAUUAUCUCUACUCCUUUAUAAUGUCUAAGAGUUGCCCUGUGACAUAAUAUAUGAUCUAUUUUUGAGAAGGAUCCAUGUGCUGCUGAGAAAAAAGUGUAACUGCUUGAUGUUGGGUGGUAUAUUCUAUAUAUGUCAACUAAGUCUAGGUUUUUAAUUGUAUUAUUGAGUUCUAUAGUUUCUUUAUUCAACUUUUGUUUGGAAGAUCUCUCCAUUGGUGAGAGAGGUGUGUUAAAGUCUCCCAUAAUUAUUGUAUGGUGGUCUAUUAGACUCUUGAACUUGAGAAGAGUUUGUUUGAUGAACAUAGCUGCACCAUUGUUUGGAGCAUAUAUAUUUAUGAUUGUUAUGUCUUGUUGGUGUAUGGUUCCCUUGAGCAGUAUGUAGUGUCCCUCUUUAUCCCUUUUGAUUAACUUUGGCUUGAAAUCUAUUUUAUUUGAUAUGAGUAUGGACACUCCUGCUUGUUUCCAAAGUCCAUAUGAGUGAUAUGAUUUUUUCCAACCUUUCACCUUCAGUCUAUGUAUGUCUUUUCCUAUCAAAUGCGUCUCCUGUAGGCAGCAUAUUGUUGGAUCUUUUUUUUUUUUUUGAUCCAUUCUACUAGCCUGUGUCUCUUAAUUGGUGAGUUUAAGCCAUUAACAUUUAGGGUUAUUAUUGAGAUAUAGAUUCUUCUUCCAGCCAUAUUUGUUUAUUUAUGUUACUUAACAUGGUUUGUUUUUCCUCUUUGAUUAUUUUUCCCUUUACUGUACUACCUUACACUGUUGGUUUUCAUUGUUAUUUUCCAUUUCCUCUUCCUGUAAUGUUUUGCCAAGGAUGUUUUGAAGAGAUGGUUUUCUAGCUGCAAAUUCUUUUAACUUUUGUUUAUCGUGAAAGGUUUUAAUUUCCUCUUCCAUCCUGAAGCUUAAUUCCGCUGGAUACACAAUUCUUGGUUAGAACCCAUUUUCUUUCAGCAUUUGAAAUAUGUUGUUCCAGGAUCUUCUAGCUUUCAGUGUCUGUGUUGAAAGAUCAGCUGUUAUCCUGGUUGGUUUACCCCUAAAUGUAAUCUGCUUCCUUUCUCUUGAAGCUUUUAGAAUUUUCUCCUUAUUCUGUAUAUUGGGCACCUUCAUUAUAAUGUGUCUAGGUGUGGAUCUCUUAUGAUUUUGCACAUUUGGUGUCCUGUAGGCUUCUAGGAUUUGGGAUUCUGUCUUAUUCUUCAAGUCUGGGAAGUUUUCUCGUAUUAUUUCGUUGAACAGAUUGCUCAUUCCUUUGGUUUGGACCUCUAUACCUUCCUGUAUCCCAAUGACUCUUAAGUUUGGUCUCUUUAUGUUAUCCCAAAUUUCUUGGAUGUUUUGCUCAUGGUUUCUUAACAGUCUCUCUGAGCUGUCUAUGUUCUUUUCAAGUUGAAAUACUUUGUCUUCAUUGUCUGAUGUUCUAUCUUCUAGGUGUUCUACUCUGCUGGCAGUAUUCUCAUUUGAGUUUUUAAGUUGGUUUAUUGCUUCCUGCAUUUCUAGGAUUUCUGUUUGUUUGUUUUUUAUAACCUCUAUCUCCCUGUAUAGUUGAUCUUUUGCUUCUUGGAUUUGUUUAUGUUACUCAAUGUCGAAGUGAUCUUUCAUUGUCUGAUUUUGCUGUCUAAUGUCUUCCUUGAGACUCCAGAUCAUCUGAAGCAUGUAAAUUCUGAAUUCUUUAUCUGACAUUCCAUCUGCUGCAGCUAUUACCUCUUCUAAAGUUGAGUUGACCUGCAUUGCUUGUGGUCCUUUCUUUCCGUGUCUUUUCAUACUGCUUGCAUUUCUUUCUGCUUGGUGAGACUGUUGUGUUAUUGAAUUAUCCCCCUAUAUAUUUAUAUUGCUCUUGUAUAGUUGCAAAGUCUCCCUUGCAGGGGCGGGCGGCAACUGUGCUCCUCCUCCAAUUGGAGUGAUCUAUCUUGCCGGCGGGCCGCUGGGCCCCUUCUCCAGAUCGCGUGGUCUGCCUACCUUGCGGGCAACAGCUGGGCCCCUCCUCCAAUAGGGAUGAUCUGUCUACCACGCUGGCAGGCCGCUGGGCCUGUUCUCCAGGUUGCAGGUCUGCCUACCUUGCAGGUGCAGGCGGUGGCUGUGCCCCUCCUCUAAUUGGGGCGAUCUUUCAACUAGGCCUGCGUGCCGCCGGGCCCCUUCUCCAGGACGCACGGUCUGUCUACCUUGUGGGCAGCAGCUGGGACCUUUCUCCAAUUGGGGCAAUGUGUCUACCACGCUGGCGGGCCGCUGGGCCUGCUCCGUCGGUCGGUCGCAGGUCCCACCUUGCAGGCGUGGGAAGCGGCUCUACUCCGCACCUCCUCCAAUUGGGGCGAUGUGUCUACCACACCGGCAGGCCGCUGGGCCUGCUCCGCUGGUCGGUCGCAGGUCUUCCCACCUUACAGGCGUAGGCGGCGUCUCUGCUCCGCCCCUCCUCCAAUUGGGGCAAUGUGUCUACCACGCCGGCGGGCCGCUGGUCUCGAAAGUAUAUUCUUAGACAAAAUUUUGCUGGAUAAAUGUUUUUGGACCAGUUUAAAUGCCUUAGUAGAUAAUCAAGGGAAAGGAGGAAAAGUGACAUUUUAUAAUAAAAAUGAAGUAUUUUAUUCUACUAUUUUUCUUAUCCCCACAUCCCCUGCCUUCUCCUCCUUUCACUUUCCUCUACCUAAUCUAAGGUAAUGUUAUUAUUAUUUUUUUUCAUUACUGUAUGUGACUGCAUGACCAAUGUGAUUCUACAAUAUAUAUACUCAGAAAAAUGAGAAAUUAUAUCCCAACUAUGUAUAAUACAUCAAAGUAUAUAAGUGCAUUCUACUGCCAUGUAUAACUAAUUAAAACAAAAAAAAAUAAAAAUGAAGUAGUUUUAAUAAAAUGAGGUCAGACAUCUGGAUAUUUCUUCAUUCUACUUGGCUCACAGGUAAACUAGGGGGCUCUCAGUUAUGUGCAGAAAGAACUGAGACAAGGAACCACGUCCUUUGAUCACACAGAUGUCAGCAUUUAUCACCAAAGUUUUUCUGUGGCUUUCGGGGAGUGGCUUAAUAAUUUUUCUUGUUUUGCAAUCCUGAAAUGUAGAGGUUCAUAGCAAAAGGAAAGUUUGUAUCAUUCAAUCAUUAAGUCCAACUCAUUAAGUUCUAAAUGAAACUGUGUAUGGUGUGAUAUAAAGUGCAAAGGCACUAAUAUCUUUUCUAAGGAUAAGCCUAGAUAAGCUUAUUGACAUGGGAGAAUCCAGAUGAUUUGACAAAUGACUUUCUUCUCUGACUAUCAAAGGUUGUCAUAUUUUUCCUAUUUCAGAGACCCUCCUGAAAGCUGACGAAAGACAUUCAAUAUGGUACUUUAAUGUCAGUUCAUUUGGCCAAUCUACCAGCCUUCAGAAUGGAAGGUAUAGUCAUGCACAUGUUGUUACCCCAUGUACUCAGAAGGAUCACAAGUUGGAGGGAAUCUGGGCAAUUUAGGGAGACCCUGUCUUAAAAUAUAGUAAACAGGGCUGGGGAUGUACAUUGUACACUGUAAACCAGUAAUAUAGUCACCUGCUUUAAGGAAAGCAGUUCUACUUUUUUUGGGGGGGGGGGUCUCCAUUUUUGCUGCUACAAAAUUCACUUGCUUUUUAGGUCUAAGCCAGUGGUUCUCAAUUAGUGAUAAUCUUGUUCCCCAAAUGAUGAAGUCCCAUUUGAUUAUCAAAACAACUUGUUUGGGAAUGUUCUGCUCUUUCCUGAAAUAGACCAGAGAUUCUGUUAAUCAUCCUACAAUGCAAAAGACAGCCCUCCAUAACAGAAUUAUCUGGUCCCAGAUGGCAACAGUGUUAAUGUUAAUGAAGUCUAAUCUAAAUCUCCAUAUAAUUUAAGAAAUUUCCUCAAGUUUUACCCUGCAAAGGAGACGAAAAAUGAAAAUAGACUUGUUGAUUUGAUUUAUUAAGUAGCCUUACACUUUACCUUCCAAUCAGCAUAAUAAUAAAUGUUUGAUGUAAAUAUCUUCUCUGAAAUUCAACAACCUUUAUUUUUGAGACUGAUUCUUAAGUUACUUCCUUUUCUCUGGUCUAAAUAAUGUCAAGACUUUGGAUUGUUUGUUUACUUCUGAUUUGUUAAUUCAAACAUUAAUUUAACAACAACCCUGUGCAGGUAGAGUGCUAAGAAGGAAGAGUUAAAUGGUAAAGCCCAGUAUUCUCAUGGGUAAUGGGAAAAGACUGUCACAAUGUCAGAUUAUUGAGUACAUUGUGCUCAGAAUGUGUAUUGCAUUCAGGAUGUCUUCUGUGGAACACAGAAGAAUUCAUCCUGAAGGUCAGAGGAAGGCUUUAAAGGGGAAGUAAUGUCCAAACUGGGACUUGAGGGAUGAGAGUUUGCAGGGUGAUUGGGGACUGGGGAGAAAGUCAGUGAAUGCAUUCUUCAUUGAGAAAAAUGAUUAAACAUCCAUUAUGGGCCAGUAGUUAGGCACCAACCACAUUGUGAAAAACGAAACAGACACCUCCUACCACUAUGGGGGACUUUAAAGAACCAAAGGAAACCUCCCCUUUAAUGCUUAGAUCAUGCUUUAAGAGUCCUCAGAACUCUACUGCCUGUCCCUUGUGGAUGGGAAGAAAGAUAGAUACUAUCUCCAAUCUUAUAAAGGAAGAGCUGAAGGCAAGAGAAACAAAGUGACUCCCUGCCAGCCCUAACCAUGGCCAAAGAUCUCAAUUGUGACCAAUUGAGAACCACUGGCUUAGACCUAAAAAGCAAAUGAAUUUUGUGGCAGCAGAAAUGGAGACCGAAAAAAAUUUAAAAAUAAAAAAAAAUAGAACUACAUUCCUUAAAGCAGGUGACUUUAUUACUGGUUUACAGUGUACAGUGUAUAUCCUCAGCCCUAUUUAUUAUAUCUUAAGACAGGGUCUCCCUAAGUUGCCCAGACAGACCUACUAAGUGGCAAAACCAGUGCUUUUCUACUUUUCUUUGGUUUUCAAAUGCAAUUUCCUAUGGCAGGGAGGCAAGCACGUCUAUUUCUACCUGCUCCUUGCCCUGCUGUCUUCAUCUCUGUCUUAGCCCCUGUUUUUUGCUGGCCUCAGUGCUGAAGGAGUUUUCCAGUCUUCCUAGCUCUGAUUGAAGUGGGAGUGCCAAGGGAAGGAAGUGAGAGCUGCUGUCCACUUUUCACCAUUUGCAAGAUCAUUUCUACCUUGAUUCUCUGCCGCGCCCCCCCCCCCCACUUUUUUUGAUGAAUAAGGAGAACUGAGAUGUGGGACUGAAAAUCCCUUUUGUUUGUCUUGGUGUUUGAUAAUGUAUGCAACCUCUCUGGGUGGUUUAAGCGGUUUAGGUACUUUCUAUAAAAGGGAUCUUUUAAUGACAAAACUAAUGUGAUUAUCUGAGUGAGUGUGAGAGGCGUAUUCAAGGCUUAAAGAAAAUCUGUUAGAAUAGCUGAAUGUAUCUGCUUAAUCCUUUCUCUAAUGUGGCUGAACAAUGCUCUGAGAAGCCGUUGGUCCUUCUUUCUUCUAGUAAAUGCCUGUCCCUAGAGGUAGGGACUGUUCACAGCUUUUGAUAGCCUUAUGCUUCACCUUCCCAGCUGCACAAAAGCACAGGAAAAGCCUGGAGGAGUCCAAAGCACCUACAGAAAGCAACAUCUCCUCUGAACAUGGACAGCAAGAUGUACACUACAAGGCAUGCUUUCUACAGGGCAUCCUGAGCUGCAAGGACUGUGGUCACUAUUGGGAAUGCCAUUUUGGAGAAGGGUCUGUUUCUGCUGAUGCUGGGUGACAGGAACUUGUGAAUAUUAUUUAAAAUCUUACCUCUGAGUUGUAAGAGUAGUUAAGCUCCUCUUUUGUGUGUGUAUGUGUGGGGGUGGUGAGUGAGUGGCAAGGGAAGCCUAAGAGGGGAGAAAAGAGAAACAGUUUGAGUCCUGCAACCUGCUCUGUGAUUUGGGGACAAAAUUAUUUUCCUCUAGUAUCUGUUCUCUCAUUUCAUGAACCAGAGAUAAUAAAACCUCCAUAUAAGUUCAUUGUGAAAAUCAAAGUAAAAUGGGAGCAUGAACAUGAAAGUGUCACAGCCAAACUGCAAUAUUAUCACAUAACUUACUUUUUAAAAUUUUACUUUAUUUAAAAAUUUAAAUUCUUAUUCUUUUAAGAAUACUCUUCUAGAUGUAUAAUUUAACUCAAGAAAGCAUUUGCCCACUUAUGUGCUGGAAGUUAUUCUCUUGACCUUCAGGGAAGUUGCAAUCUCGUAGGGUUGCGGAUAUGUAAAAUGCAGUCUGAGAAAAGUAUAUUGCAAGUGAUUAAUUAUAAGAUGGGAGCAUAGUAAUAGCAGCUAACCCUUCUGUAGUAUUUAUUGUUUUCCAAGCACUGAGCUGUAUGUUUUAUUUGAGUUACCUUAUUCAACCCCCACAGCCCUGGAAAGUAGAAAUAAGUAUCAUCCCAUUUCAUGGAUGAGGCUGACACUCAGUCAGAUCAAAGAAGUCACUUUCCCACAGUGUCACAUGUGGUAAGUGGUGAGCUAGAACAGUUCUAGCUGUUUCAUAGUCUAAACUCGUUGUACUGUUACAUCCCAAGUUAAGAAAGACUUCCUAGAGAAGGAGAUCAUAGGUGGGUUCCAUCCCAGAAUUGAAAAUGUGCUCAGUAUGUAGAAGAGAAAGGACAUUCCAAGCAGAGGGGACAGCACAGGUCAAAGCACAUUGCCCAUAAAGUUUUUGUGCAGAGAGAAACUAGAAGCAGUUUUCAGUUAGUGUGGAGUUGGGUACAUUGGAGAGUAAGAAGGGGCCAUAUUAGGAUCUCCUAUACUGCACCUUUGUGGAAAAACAAGGAGGCAAGUUAUUUCUUUUAAUUAAUUACUUUGUUUCUAUCCUGUUUGUCAAAAAAGAUUUUGCAGCAAAGUGGGAACUGUUGAUGCCUUUAUAUAUAGAUUGGAGACACACUGGAAGAUUGAAGACCCUUCAGAGAUGAUGAACUCAUUCUUUCCAAGAGGAAAUCCAGGCUGAAUGCAUCAUGUGAAGCAAUUUACCAGAAGUGUCACAACUCUUACAAAAAUGACUGAAAUACAUUUUGGAGCACCCCCAGAGAGCAGGUGCUGACAUGCCUGGGCACACUCAAUGAUUGCAUGAAACAAAAACUCCAGUAUUUCCCUUCCCUGUGUCACCAUAGCCAUCCCACUGACCUGAGAACCAGUCUUCCCAAAGGGCCUACUUCUCACCUCUCAGAUGGAAAACAAAAAGGCAUGAAAUCAAUGCUCUGAAUGUAAACUAGACAGAUAAAUAUCAGUGCAGCAGGAGGGGAGAGCAAUAAAGUGAGCAGGCCUGAGUGAUGGUGGUAACCUGCUGAAUUCCCAGGUCACGGAGUAAUUUACUGACUGGUCCUAGACCCCUGGAUAAUUAUCCAGACAGCCCCCAUUCUGAUGUGAAGCCUCCUGCUGCUUAUGUUAUUAAUUCCGGCUGCAACCAGCGGGCGUUGGUGGGAGCAGAGAGGAGCAACCAAGUCCCCAAGCUGCUGAGUGAAUGCGGAGGCACCUGCCCAGGCCCUCUGAGCUAGACCUCACCAAGAAAACCCACUAGCUCUGGCUUUCAGCUCUUAGCACAGCCACUGCCCGGCCCUAGGGAGAGGCUCCUAAGGAUGGCCAAGGCCUUGGUAAAGGCAGAAGAUCCAAGUUCUGGAGUGUGACCAGCUUGUAUCAAAGAACCAUUGCCUUGUUCCUCUUUGGGGCUGACUGGAAAGUGAUUUUGAGGUUUUCCCCAAUAAAACUGAUAUCCAGGAAGCAAUGUCAAACACUUAUCUUUGAUGAGGUGUGAAAAUCAGACUUCACUGCCCUCAACUAAGAUUGGGGAAAAUGGAGGUGUAUGUUUUAGGGUUUAAUCACGUGAGAUCUUUUUCUUAUCUUUUCUGCCCAAUCUACAUAGAUGUCCCAGCAGCAUGUCUUAAAACCAAGUUCCAGUUUUUCAUCCCCCUACACCCCUACUUUAUUUUCAGCUUACUGGAUUGGCCCUAGAGAUGACAGGAUGACAAUGUUUCACAAUCACUUCUGCUUUGUCAAGAUCUGUGUAGUGAGUAGAGGUAUCUCUGCAAUAUCACACCCCAACUCAGCACUGCCACAGGACAGGUGGUCCAUACAUAUUGAGUGAAUAAUUAGGAAUGUAUUCAUGAAGACUCAACCAUUGGGACUUUUUUUUUUCUUUAAGCAAGCAAGUUCAGAUUUGUAUUUGAAAGGAUUACUUUGCUUCAGUGUGCAAACUCUCCUGGAACAGGAUUUCUCAACCUUGGAAUUAUCAAUACUUGGCAGAAUAAUUCUUUGUUUGUUAGGGUCUGUAAACAAGUCAAGAUGGUGCCUGGCAUUUUGCCAGAGGGAGUGGUUUGUGAAGUAAUGCCAGCGAGCCAUCAAGUGUGGAGAUUCCUUAUUGGUUGACUGCUGUAUCUAGUUUAUGUUAAUUAAGAUAAGCUGUGUGGAAUGUAUAUAUACCCCUCCUGUCCUACAAUAAAAGGCUCCCACUCCUGCUGUA
Marmota monax (woodchuck) is the source of this 16130-nucleotide long non-coding RNA. RefSeq lists it as uncharacterized. The record is from RefSeq and is a predicted model, not a curated record. Lineage: Eukaryota; Metazoa; Chordata; Mammalia; Rodentia; Sciuridae. The transcript is spliced from 2 exons.